This 497-nucleotide ribosomal RNA is filed under the name uncultured bacterium. RNAcentral describes it as "partial 16S ribosomal RNA". It matches the Rfam family "Bacterial small subunit ribosomal RNA", at positions 28 to 507 of the family's 1533-position model. The record is from RNAcentral.
GAUGAACGCUGGCGGCGUGCCUAAUACAUGCAAGUCGAGCGAACAGACGAGGAGCUUGCUCCUCUGACGUUAGCGGCGGACGGGCGAGUAACACGUGGAUAACCUACCUAUAAGACUGGGAUAACUUCGGGAAACCGGAGCUAAUACCGGAUAAUAUAUUGAACCGCAUGGUUCAAUAGUGAAAGACGGUUUUGCUGUCACUUAUAGAUGGAUCCGCGCCGCAUUAGCCAGUUGGUAAGGUAACGGCUUACCAAGGCAACGAUGCGUAGCCGACCUGAGAGGGUGAUCAGCCACACUGGAACUGCGACACGGUCCAGACUCCUACGGGAGGCAGCAGUAGGGAAUCUUCCGCAAUGGGCGAAAGCCUGACGGAGCAACGCCGCGUGAGUGAUGAAAGUCUUCGGAUCGUAAAACUCUGUUAUUAGGGAAGAACAAAUGUGUAAGUAACUAUGCACGUCUUGACGGUACCGAAUCAGAAAGCCACGGCUAACUACGUG